Molecule: long non-coding RNA, 253 nt
Filed under: Medicago truncatula (barrel medic)
Lineage: Eukaryota; Viridiplantae; Streptophyta; Magnoliopsida; Fabales; Fabaceae
Description: long non-coding RNA (MTRU_LNC004123)
Source: RNAcentral
UUCCUCUGUUGAAAUCGUGUCACGAUUUCCCAAAUCGUGUCACGAUCUGCGUACCACCCAAGAAACGACCAGUCCUUAUCAAGGAUACUUAACGAGCAAGUUUCACGAUCGUGUCACGAUUUUCCCAAAUCGUGCCACGAUUUUGCACCCUGCAACCUAGCUCACGGCACCCCGAAAUCGUGUCACGAUACCAAAAUCGUGUCACGAUUUCCCUGUUCUUCCAGACCACAAAUUUGAAGACAAUCUCAACAAA